Molecule: long non-coding RNA, 32010 nt
Filed under: Physcomitrium patens
Lineage: Eukaryota; Viridiplantae; Streptophyta; Bryopsida; Funariales; Funariaceae
Description: long non-coding RNA (PPAT_LNC009458)
Source: RNAcentral
UAGGAAAAGGUGUCCUAUGUUGUUUGCCUUGAAUGCAUCCCUCACAAGUAAGAUUCAUGGUAGAAUGGCCAAGGUCUAAGCCACUUACCAUGGAUUGAAGCUCCUUCAUGCUUUUGGCAUUCAAAUGCCCAAGUCUUUGAUGCCAAAUGCCUACCUUGUCUUCAUUUGAUGGAAAUUCAGCAAAAGCAGCAACCUCCACUCCAUUGAUCUUUUUGCAAUUGAUAAUAUAGAGAUUGCCAUCCCUAGUCCCUUUUGCUACUUCUUUGCCUUCCAUAGUUCUCACAAAACAUCCAUUCAUGAUAAAUUGCACUUUACACCCAUGAGUUACAAGUUUACUCACAGAAAGGAGGUUCUUCUUCAUCUUUGGCACAUGCAACACAUUCUUGAGAGUGAUUCUCUUGCUUAUGUCUUUCACCACCACCUGCACUACAAUGGUGCACCAUUGUAAAAUGGUACAAGUCAUGUGUUUGGUACAUCCGGAAUCCACAAUCCAUUUGCUCAUAUCAAGCAUGGAAGGAGUUUGUUUUGCCAUGAAUGCAAAGUCUUCACCUCCAUGGUCAUCAAAAGCAUUGUUGGCAUUCUCUCAUUCUCCUCUCUUUGCUUUGAAAGAAUUUCUAAUAAAAUGGCCUGGUUUUCCACAAAUGUAACAAGUUUUAGGAAGAUAAUGUUGAAAAGGGGCACUUGCUUUACUUGGUCUUGUAAAUAGUGCUGAUUGCUCCCCAAUAGACUCCUUUUGCUUUCUUUUGGUCACUUCAUGGGUUAGUCCCACCGUGACAUAGUCCAAAGUAAGGUCUUUCCUUGAAAUGGACUCCAAUGCCACAAUGAGGGAGGAAUAGGAGUCCGAAAGGCUUGAGAGCAAUAUCAUCACAACAUCUUCUUCAAGUAAAGGCUUGUCAACAACAACAAGUUGGUUUGCAAGUGCUUUUACCUUAUUCACAUGAGCCAUGAGAUCUUCACCUUCUUCCAUCUUCACGAUGAAGAAUUUUUGCCUUGACCAUAGCAUAUUGGAGAGAUUCCUACUUUCAUAGACAUUGUAAAGAGUCUUCCAUGCAUCUGCUGCCCCUUUGCAAGAAAUGACAUGAACAAAGUUGCUUUCAUCUAAAUUGGUGGCAAUUAUGCCAAAAGCCUUCUUCUCUCGUCUUUUGAAGUCCUUUUGCUCCUUGAUGCUUGCCUCUACCCCAGGUGUAAGUUCCUCCUCAUCUACUAUCUUCCAAAGAUCCAAUGACGCCAAAAAUAGCUCCAUUUUGGCCUUCCAGUGGUGAAAGUGGUCACUUCUAAACUUUUCAACAACUCUUAAGCCAUCACCCUCAACAGAUGCCAUCUCAAGCUACAAGUAGGUCCAAAAAACUCUUGAUUUGGAGUUGUAAUGCAAAAGAUAUGACUACUUAAAGAUUGCUGAAAUACAAAUCCAGAAUUCGCUGUUUUGCAACUUUUUGCAUAUUUUGAGUCCAAAUUACGUCUAAAUGGUGGGGAAUGGUUUGUAAUGUGAUUUUAUGACUUUCAAACGUCUCUCUCACGUCACUUCAGUCAAAAUGACUGACUUUCUCAUAAAACUCUCAAAUAUUAGUGCUCCUUCAGCAAAGACACUAUCAAGGUCUUGCACUAAGCUGAUACACUCACAAAUCCAGGAGCAAUGACUUCAAAAAUUUACUAGCAACACUCUACCAUAAGAUCUCAACCACCAAAACAAGCAACAAAGAAAUAAUGCAAGAACAACUUACUUGGUAAGAGAAUGUGGGCCCAUAACUUAUUGAAACAUAGAAAGCAUACUCAACACAAGUAAGUUAGGACCGGCAAGGUUGCACUUUAACAAAUAGAGUGUGGUAUGAAAUAAUUCUUCCCAUGCUAACCCUUUUCUUAUAUAUUAGUACCAAGGUAGCAAGUGCUACAACCAUUAUGAGAUAUCUCCUAGGACCAGACCUUCCCUUGUACUCUAAUGCACUAUAGACCAGCACCUAACAUUAUGGGAUAUUCUUAACAAUACUUGUAUUCUAUUGACCAUUAGCAACUAUUGAAAGAGUUCUUUCCUUCAACUAUAUAUACAUACAAAUUCAAAAAUAUAGUUGCUUAUUUAGUUACUAGAUUUUAGUAAUAUUCCAUCAACAAAGCAAUGUAAGAAAAAACCACGUACUUCCUUAAAGAAGGUUUCAUUGAAUCAUUUAUCAUCUUAUCAUGAUGAUGAUCCAACAAUAUUUGUACUUCUUGGCUAAUAUCAUGUUAUCAUGUUUGUAUGCUACUAGGCUAAAUUUGAAUUUAGUUAAGUGGUAAUUUGGGGUGUUACUAGAAAUUUUUGAGGCAUCCAAUGACUAAUACCAAUAAUGAUUCUAGAACACCUUUGAUUGUAGAUCUUCUAUAAUCACAAACCAUAUCUGAGAUGUGAAGCUUCAGAAUCUGUAGAAUUACAGUUGUAAGAAAUACUAAAAGAUGUUAUUGCUCAUUAGUACAAAAAAAAUUGGUUGUAAGAGAUAUGACUUUACCAACAGAUUAUUUUAUUUAUUUUAUUUUAUGUUAUCAUAGAAUGAAAUAUUUUGAGAAUCUUGCAAUACAAUUAAAUAAUGUUGUGUUAUUAUUUUUAUUUUUUAUUUUUUUAUGUAAACAACCAAGAAUAAGAUAUCUAAAUUAUUAUAUCACAAUAUUUUAAAGAAAGUGAGAAGUUUAAACAAGAUUUUUAGAUAUAAUGUGGUCUGAUUAUAGGAGAAAUGAUGGUUGUUAGGACAAUAGAGUCAAAAGGAUUUAAAGAAACUAAUUUAAAGGAUUGUAGUAUAAAGAAGGUUCUUAACAUGGUGUUAAAUUAGAAUAUUUUAAAGAAUCAAAAUCAAAAUAUCAAUUUGAAGUAUUUUACAAUACAUACUAGAUUGAGUAGGAAUGCAAGGAUAGUUCAUGUAUUCUUUUGGUUGUAUGAUUGUGUAAGUAAGUUGUAUAAGUGUUGGGAUCAAACUUAUGAGUGCAAGAGAGAACAAAUUUAACGAGAUAUGAAAAUAAGAGCUCUGAUGGCAAAAACGGAUAAUCAAUGACCAGAUUAGUAUAGGUGUAGAUACAUUAACCAACUGGGAGAUAGGAGUGCCAUGACAAAGUAGAUUUGGAAUAACAAUAAAGAAGAUGUGGGAUCAAAGACGAAUUGGCUUGCAAGGCAAUAAUGCAAGAAAGAGGCAUAUUAAAGAAAAAGAGCAGCAAUGUGAUGGAGUGGAGCUACAUUGAAGAGACUCAAUUGUGAUAUCUUCUUAUGUUGUUCAAUACUAGUUGAUGAGCUAACAUAGGUGAGACCAAAUUAAGUAAUAGCAAAAAAUAAGAAUGUGAUGAAAGUCAUGUUUAUGAUAAAUCUAUUGUAGAAUAGAUGUUUUGCUUAUAGCAAGUGAGAGUUGUACUAGAAGUAAUCAAAACUAUAAUUUUUAAAAUGGAUAAUAAAUUUUUUGGUGUUUGCAUAUUAAAGUUAGAUUCUUCUUUUAUUUAUGCAAUAGCACAAAACUUAAAAGCAAUCAUUUUUUAUAUUAAAAAUAUAUUUACUUUAGUCUUUAAGAUCUAAAGAAGUAUAAUGAUAAGCCAAUUUAUAUCAAAUUUAAAGAAUUAUUAUUAUUAUUAUUAUUAUUAUUAGAUGAUCUUAUAGAAUUAAUUCAUUACAAAAAAUUAGCAUAUAAUAUUUUUAUUGGGGAUUUUUGAUAGCAAAUUUGACUAAGCUUUUAAACAAAAAAAAUGAUUAAGCAAUAGUUUUGUCUUUAUAAAAUAUAUUUUUAAUAACUAGAUAUAAAACAUAUAAAGAUUAAUCAUAAAAAUAAUUAAUUAAAAUAAUAAAUAAGAUUAAUAUCUAAUAUUUAUAUUUAAAGUAAUAGAAUUUGUAGUCAUCUAAGUUUCAAAAUGUAAGAUAUAUAAUUAAGUAUGGUCAAUUUUUAAUAAAGCUUUAUUUCAAUAGAGGUUUUUUUAUUAUUAUUUUUUAUUAUUAUUAUGGUUAUUAUUAUAGACUUAAAUUACCUAUAAUCAGUAAACUUUGUUGAACCAUUCAAUAUUAAAUCAUGUGGAGCAAAGUAUGUAUAUAUAAUGAUGAUGACUUUUAGGAAUUAAAUAGAACUUGUAGCUUUGUAGAAAAAUUCAUCUAAGUUGGCUAUGUUAACAUUCGUAGAUUAUAAAUUAAUACGCUUUAAAGUACUAAGUAAGGUAUUGAAAAAUCAAAGUAAUAAGUUUUUUGAUACUUUUGAAGAAUAUUUUACCAAAUUUUUAAUUAAUUACAAAACUCUUUUUAAUGAAUAUAUAAAAAUGGUAGUUCAGUUGAAGAAAGUCUUUAAAUAAUAGAAUUCAAAUUAUAAAAAUUAAGUUUGUUUGUGGCAAUCAUUGUUACUUGGACUUAAUAUUACAAUACAUUGGUAUAAGAUACCAAUGUAAUAGACAUGUGGUUCUGACAUCUUAUAGUCCAAAUUAUUUGAUAAAUGAAUAAGAGUCCAUUUUAUCCAACUUAAUAUCCAAUAAACUAGCUCUCAUUAUAGAUUUAGAUGAAAAAAUAUGUUUAAACUCAAUAAUUAUAGGAGCAAGAAAAAUUCUUUGAAUGUUCUUUGCCUACAAUGAUAAAAAUUUGAAUAUUAUAUAAUAUUAUAAUAUUUUAAGUAAAAUUAUUAACCUUAAUUUUGGAUUUAAUUUAAAAAAUAUUAUAUUUACAUUCCAAGUAAAGAUCUUACAAAACUUGAUGUAUAGAUAAGCCACAUGAUUCUUUAAGUAAAGAAAGUGCUAUCUAAUAAUAUCUUGUUAUUUAAAGACAAAGUAAUACUUACUUAUUGGAUAAAUUUAAUUUAAUAAGAUGUUUGUUAGUAUUCUAAAAAUAAUUUAAAAUAUUACUAGUUCUUUUAGUAUAACACAAAUUAUUUUUUUAAAAAAAGUGAUUCUUAAUAAUUUACUAGUAUAAGGAGAAGAAUAAAAUAGAUUAAUUUAUAAAGAAAUAGAAUAAAAAUAAAAAAAGACAAGAAUGAAGUAAUUUUAUAGUUAUAAAAAAAAUUGGGAUUUCAAAUUAGAGAUUUUAAAAUAUCAAAUGGAAACAUUUAGGGUAUUAAUAAAAAAAUAUAAGGUAAUAAAUAAAACAUUUCAACACAUCAAUUAGAAGAUUUUAGAAUACUUUUCAGAUGCUUAUAGGUUAAAAAUGUAGAUAUCUGUAUAGUAUUAAUAUAAUAUAAUUAUUUAUUUUAGAAUAUAAGUAAAAGUAUCAAUUUUAAAACAAAAAUUCAAAGAAAAUAGCCAAAAUAAAUAGGAUUUCUUAUAAAAUUUAAAGAUAUAUAUAUAUAUAUAUAUAUAUAUAUAUAUGUUUUAAUUAGAAGUAUAUUUUCUUUUCAUUGGCAAUAUAUAUUUUCUUUUCAAAGUUACAACACGUACAAUUAUAUAUAUUUUAAUUACAACACAUGUGUGGUAUGCAUUUUGCAGUAGAAAAAAACUUGUAAGCUCCAAUUAAAAUCUCCUGAAAUCUCUUAGAAACCUUCAAAAAACUCAUCAAAUUCUGAAAAAUGCUGCACAUUUUCUUAAGUCUAAUUAUGAACUUCAUAAGAUAUCAACUUGCAUUCACAUGACAUUCAACAUUUCUGAAAAAAAAAAAAAAAUCGAUUUCCUUAAUGUAUUUCAUUACAGCUAAAACAUACAUGUAAAUUGAAAAAUAUUAACAAUUCAUAUUUAAAUGAUUUUAAAAUAACUAAAAAAAACACAAGCAUGCCAAAUACAUAGUGAAGCUAGGUGCCUGUACCGAUGAACGCCAAAGCUCCAAAAUAAAAUGCUUCCAACGGAACCUUUAACAAGAAGCAAUUCUUCAUUUACAUCUUCAAAAGUUCUAAAAAUAGAGCAACUCCUCCGAGCCACUUCAACAAACUCAGGGCAGAACAUACGGUAACUCAUCAAUCCACGUAAAUGGACUAGCUCCACAGCAACUCAGGGUCGCUUGUGGCAUAAAUUCAACGAAUAGUUCGCUAAACACAUCCUCUACAACAUAAAAAUUGACAACUCCUCGUAGGCGAGGCCUCCAACCGGAAGCCUCACAUGGUAGCCUUUCAUGGAUCCCGCACCUGAGAUAUCGGUAGAAACAGGUUCCGUGGCAAUCCCUCCGCCGUCUCGCGCUGCCAAAAACGUGACUUCAUCAUUUUCGAUAAAUUUUCAAAAAAAUCGCAAGAAAUUCACGACCAAAGUACAGUCAUGUGUUUCCCACAUGUGCACCAUUCUGAUUUCCCCCACAAUAGACACUCGGACAUCCUCGACUGAUAAUCUGAUGUAUCCUCGCCCCCUCAAAUGGCACUUUCUUUGCGUCUCAACAUUCGCGUGAGAGAUCCCUGCGACAGCGGAGGAAGUUGGAAAACUUCCCAAUUUCGCUCGCAUCUCUUCACAAACCUUUUCAUCAACUCCCGAACCCAACUAGCAUGGUCUAAUUUAGUAACCGCGCUUAGAUACCAAGACAUUUCCUCUCAUGUCCUCGUUGCUUUUCACGGAUGUGACGAUCAUUGAUUAGGAAAAAAAUGAGCUAUUGCGGAGCAAUGAUUGCUCCUAUCAGACGGAAACACAAAACACAUGGGCUACUUCACGCGGCAACCAGACUUGAGCAAGGCAACUCGCGAAUACCUCAGUAAACCUCGACGUGCCACUGCUUGUUCUUCUUGAGCUUGGCAAGCUUCUCAUCCCAUUUCUCUCCUCUAGAUUCCGCCACUCUCUGCAGGGUGACCUGAAAUCCGGGCAUCAUGCCCCUCAGUCCACAAAAGUAGAUGUGUGCGCCCGUGUCGAGCAAGUUGAACAGCUCCUCGCUGUAAUCCUCGAUCUUGUCCUGGACGUACAUCAUGUUAUAAAUAGAGAUUGAUUUCAAAAGAUAAUAUUAGUGUUACAGAUUGCUGGUUAUAUCGUGACUCCGAAUGUCCUGUGCGGUAGUGGAUCUAAAUUGUUUUUACGGUGCGGUUAGGCCUUCGUAACAGGGAGACUGCGAAUUGACUGUGUUCGUUUACAUCCAGAGCUGGAUGAUACAUGAGAGAAGAAGUGCGUCGUUCAUUUCCAACAGAGACAAGUCGGAUAAUUCCAACACCCCCUCGCGACUUGAUGGGGGAAUCCUAUGGAGGUCAUCAGUUUAAAAGAAGAGUGAGAAUGCAAAGGGAGAAAAUUAAUCACAAUGGCGAGAGAGAGGAAGGUAGUAGGAAUAGAAAAAGGGACUGCUUGAAAUCGAUGCUGGAAGUAACAGUCGUAGUAAUACGCAGCCUGAGUGAGGCACUAGAAGGUGUCUCAAUUCGUUGACAGAGGAAGGGGAGUUGAGGCCCGUGAAUGAGCAGUCAGAAAUCCCUGAAGCAGUCAAUCAAUUUCAUACAUUCGUUGAAGAGUAGCGAUUGCCUGAGGAACAGCGACCACCCAAGAUACACGAGGCAGUAUGGAGUGGAGAAAGUAUGUUUGCUCCAGAAAUUUUCCAGCGUGGUAGAUUUUAUGCUGUUGCAAUCGGUGUGCGCCCGGGAAUCUAUGAAACACCGUUGUUUGCCCGAAGAAUUGCAUAGAUUGGAAACAUGUAUCUUGUGCUCAGGCUGCAGCUUGAAGCGGUUGUAAUUCCCCGAUUUCGGGAUAGGUCGCAAUCAUGAAGAAAGGGGAGAUGAGCAUCCCGAAGAUCAGAUGUAAUAGUAGAGUCUGAGGUAUGGAGAGAAGCUGGAGAACCAACGAGGCUAAGUUAAGAGAGAAGUCGAUGAAGAUAUUCAGCUUCUUUAGCCCCGUCGUUGAUGUUAAAGUAAAAGUAGAAUAAGUUACCUUAUAGAGGAUAUUAACUUAGGUAAGUUGCUAGUGGUCAAAGGUUUGACUCUUUGUAUACGGUAAGGGCAUCCAAUGGAUAUAGGACAAAGUCAUGGACCAAGAGUCAAAGUCAAAAGGAUAAAGAAUUAAAAAGGGAAUAUCCAAAGACUAAGUAUGAAUCAUUGGUGUGUAUCAUAGGAUACCCUCAAGCCUCAUGAGAUGCCAAAAAGAUCCUAGGACCACAUGUGCAAAAGUCAAAGAGUGGAAGUUAUCUUUUAAGGUAGCAACUACUACCUAUAAGUAAUGGAUAUUGGAAGUGAGAGAUAUCUUAUUUCAUACUCUCUUUGUCUGCAACCUUGCUGAUGCUAAGUGUUCUGUCUUCAAAGUGCUUGUUUUUCAAUAGGUUAUGGAUCCACUUAUCUUUACUUGUGACUUUUGAAGUACUUUGAAGUCUUUCUUGUUGUGAGGAAUAGAUCUUAUGGUUGAUACUGAAGUUUGAAUUUGCUCUCUUCUAACCCUUCUUAUACAUCUAGUUAUUGAUGUAGUUUUUACUUUUACUUAUUGUUAAGUGCAUUGAUAGUCUUGGUUGAUGUUAGAUUCCAUAUAAUGAUGUUUUAGAAUUUUAGUAUUGAAUUUCUUUGCUGAGUUUCAUUAUUGAUGCUCUAACUUUGUGCUUUCAAAUACUUAACUUCGCAAGAGAUUCUCCUAUUUGUUAUAAGAAGUGUUUUGUGUGAUUAGAAGCAUUUUGUGAAAGAGGGGUGAUUGAAGAGUGGCAAUGCUUAUGGUAGAGGUUUAGAUAGAGUAUAAGACUUGUAAGAAGUCUUAUUUGUGAAGUUGAGAGUGAUACAAGAGUGAAAUCACUUAUGUAAUUACAAAGAGGGCAUUCUGGGUUUCUAAGACAGCAACACCUUUUUGUUGAUUUUGAGAGUUCUAUCUUCUCUUUUCUUGAUUUUCUUUCACACAUCCCUUCCCUAGACAUGGCUUCAAGUAAAGGUGAGAGCUUGAGAGUGAUUGAAAAGUUUAGAGGUAACAAAUUUUAUCAUUGGAAGAAGAAAAUGGAGCUUUUGUUGGCUUCAUUGGACCUUUGGGACAUUGUUGAUGAAAGUGAAGACCUUCCAAGUGACAAUGCUGAUAUCAAAGUGAAGAAGAAGUACAAACGUUGUGAAAGGAAGGCUUUUGGGAUGAUUGCAACAAACCUUGAUAAUGCCAAUUUUUCACAUGUUAUAGCUUGUAAUGGACCAGCAGAAGCAUGAAAGACUCUUUGCAACAUCUAUGAGAGUAGAAACCUUGUCAACAUCCUUUUGACAAGGAAGAAGUUCUUGACAGUAAAGAUGGAAGAAGGAGAUGACCUCAUGGCUCAUGUUAACAAAGUAAAAGCACUUGCUAACUAAUUAGCAGUUGUUGACAAACUAGUUGAUAAUAAGGACAUUAUAUUGGCAUUGUUCAUGAGCCUUCCCGAAUCCUACAACUACCUCAUUGUGGCAUUGGAGUCGAUCAACAUGAAGGAGCUUACCAUGAACUAUGUCACGUCAAGACUCGCCCAUGAAGUGACCAAGAGGAAAGAAAAUGAGCUUAUAAGUGAUGAUUUGGCUCUAUUUUCAAGACAAGGCAAAGAUAGCUAUUCUCACCAACAUAAUAAUUUUAAAAGUAAUAUGAAGAAUUGCUAUAUUUGUGGAAAACUAGAUCAUUUUGCUAGAAAUUGCUACAAGGCCAAGAAAAGAGAUAGAAAAAAUACAAACAAUGCAACUAAUAGUUUUGGUGGAGCUGAGUAUGCUUUCAUAGCAAAGGAAGGAGCCUCCAUGACUGCCAUAUCAAAGUGGAUUAUAGAUUUAGAUGCUAGUAAGCACAUGACACUAUACAAGUAUUCAUUUGACACUUAUGAAGAAAUUCCAGCAACAAAAAUGUGGUUGGGAGACAAUGGCAUAGUACAAGCCAUUGGAAUUGGUUCCAUUGUAGUGAAGAUUGUUGUGAAGGACCAAUUGAAGAGGAUCAGAUUGAAAGAAGUCCUACAUGUGCCAAAAAUGAAGAAGAACCUCCUUUCGGUGAGCAAACUUGUAUCACAUGGUUGUAAGGUUCAAUUUGACAUGAAUGGAUGUUUUGUCAAGACAUUGGAUGGCCAACAUGUUGCCAAAGGCCUUAGAGAUGGAAAUCUCUACUUCAUCAAUUGCAAAAAGGUGAAUGGAAUUGAAGUCGUGGCAUUUGCUGAUUUUCCACAAGAUCAAGACAAGUUUGAAAUUUGGCAUCAAUGACUUCCUCAUUUGAAUGCCAAAUGCAUGAAGGAGCUCCAAUCCAUGGUAAGUGGCUUGGAUCUUAGUCAAUUCAGCCACAAUGCCAUGACAUUUGCUUGUCAAGGAUGUAUACAAGGCAAACAACAAAGAGAUUCAUUUCCAAGUGGAGUUGCAAUACGUGCAACAAAAUUAUUCGAGAUUGUGCACUCUGAUGUUUGUAGACCAAUGAAGACACCAUCAAUUGGAGAAGGAAGGUACUUUGUCACAUUCAUAGAUGAUUUUUCAAGAGAGGUGUGGAUUUACAUCAUUAAAGCUAAAAGUGAAUGUUUCUCAAGGUUUAAGGAGUUUAAGGUUCUUGUAGAGAAACAAUGUGAGUGCAAGAUCAAAGUGUUGAGAACGGACAAUAGAGGUGAAUACAUUUCAAAGCAUUUUGAUGAAUUCAUGAAGAUUCAAGGUAUUGCAAGACAAACCUCUACUCCUUACACUCUACAACAAAAUGGAGUUGGUGAAAGUACAAAUCGGACCAUUGUAGAGAUAGCAAGGAGUAUGCUUCAUACACAAAACCUUCGGCAUGAAUAUUGGAUGGAAGGUGUGAUAAAUGUGGUGUAUACAAGGAAUAGGUGCCUUACAAGUGCUCUUACAUCAAUGACUCCUCAAGAAGCUUGGAGUGCGAAGAAACCUUGUGUUUCAUAUAUGAAGAUUUUUGGAUGCAUUGCUAAUGCAAAAGUACCAGAUUUUAUGAGGUCCAAACUUGAUCUAAAAGAUUCAAAAUAUGUAUUUGUUGAAUAUUGUGAAGGUACUAAAGCAUAUAGGCUAAUGUGUUUAGAAACCAAGAAGAUCAUCAAAAGUCGUGAUGUAAGUUUUUGGAGUAUAAGAGUAUUUUUGAGCACUUGGGAGAGUGUUCAAGUGGGAGUGAAGGUGUGUUUGUGAACACAGCUUCAAGUUCAACAAAGAAAGAAGAAGAAGAAGAUGAUGAUGAGAAUGAGGAUGGAGGAAAUAGAAGUCAAGAUCAAGUGCCAAAGAAGGUAAAUCAUAGUGUGCCUUCAAUUGCUAGAACCAACAAUGAAGACAACGAAGAUAUUGAAGGUGAUGAUCUUGAUGAAGAAUAUCAAUUUUUGAAUGAGAAAAGACAAGCAUUGAAGAAGAAGAAGGUUGAAAGAGAGGAUGGAAUGCAAGAAGAAAGGUCUUCUUCAAACGAAAAGAGAUAUCAUUUGAGAAAAAGAAAACCACGUGGUGAAUGGUAGAAGGACCACAUCUUUCCUCAAGUAAGUGAAGAAUAUGCCAAUGUUGCACUUCUUGCUGGUCCAUUGAGUUUAUGUGAUGCCAUAAAGUCCACGGAUGUGUUAAAGUAAGAAAAUGCCAUGGAAGAAGAAUACAAAUCACUCAUGGACAAUGGAACAUGGAAAUUGAUUCAACUUCCAUCAAAUCGAGCUUCAAUUGGUUGUAAGUAGGUGUUUAGAACAAAGAGGGAUGCAAUGGAUAAUGUUAUGAGGUAUAAGGCAAGAUUGAUUACAAAAGGCUACUCACAAAUUAAUGGUAUGGAUUUCAAUGAGACAUUUGCUCUCGUGGCCAAAUUCACCACCAUUAGAACCAUUGUGGCAAUUGGAGCAGCAAUGGACUUGGAGAUACAUCAAAUAGAUGUGAAGAUGGCUUUCUUGAAUGAAAGUUUGGAAGAAGACAUCUACAUGGAGCAACCUCAAGGAUUUGUUGAAGAAGGCAAACAACACCUUGUAUGUAAGUUGAAGAAAUCCUUGUAUGGGUUAAAGCAAUCACCAAGGGCAUGGUACCAACGUAUUGAUACAUUCUUUAUGAAUGAAGGAUUUGUAAGGAGUGAGGCUGAUCAUUCCUUAUAUGUAAUGCAAUCAAAUAAGUUUAUAUUGAUUGUCAUCCUCUAUAUUGAUGAUUUGAUCAUCUUAACCAAUAACUGAAGAUGAUGGAUUGGUUGAAGAUAAAUUUAAAAAAGGAGUAUAAAAUGAGUGAUUUGAGAGAGCUUCACUAUUGUUUAGGAGUGGAGUUUGUUAGAGAUCGUGCUAAGAAGACCAUUAAAAUGAGCCAAAGCAAGUACAUUGAAGAAGUAUUGAAAUGAUUCAACAUGGAGGAGUGUAAGCCUAUUGGAACACUAUUAGAGGCAAACUUAAAGUUGAUGAAGCUCACGGAUGAAGAGUUUGCUGAAGUUGAAGGUCAAAUACAAGGUGUUCGAUACAAGACAGCAGUAGGCUCACUUAUGUAUGCAAUGGUUGGCACAAGGAUAGAUCUUGCAUAUGCGAUGAGUGUUGUGAGUCAACACAUAUUAAAGGCUGGACCAAUCCAUUGGGCAACCAUCAAAAAGAUCAUGAGGUACUUAAAAGGUACUUUGAACUUCAAAUUAUGCCUUGGAGGUAAUAAUAUUAGUUUACAUGGUUAUAGUGAUGUGGAUUGGACUGGAGAUGCAAAUGAUAGAAGGUCAACAAUGGGAUAUUUAUUCUUAGUUGGAGUUGGAGCAAUUUUAUGGAAUUGCAAGAGACAAGCAAUAAUUGUGAGGACAAUAAUGGAGGCGAAGUCAAUGGCAGCAAGCCAUGGUGCAAUAGAGGCAAUAUGAUUGAGACAACUUUUAGAGGACGUUGGAGAUGUACAAAUGGAAGUAACUCCAAUGGAGUGUGACAAUCAAGGAUGUCUUGCAUUUACAAAGAAUCCAAAGCAUCAUUCAAAGACCAAGUAUAUUGACAUUCAACAUCACUUUAUAAGAGAGAAGAUUAAAAUGGGAGUGAUUGAUAUGAAGUAUUGUGCAAUGGAGGAAAUACUUAUUGAUUUUUUGACAAAGGCAUUAGUAAAAGAUAGACACUACAUGAUGAUAAAGGCAUUUGGAUUAAAAGCCAUUUGAUAAAUAAUAAAUUGGGAGUAUUAAAGUAAAAGUAGAAUAAGUUACCUUAUAGAAGAUAUUAACUUAGGUAAGUUGCUAGUGGUCUAAGUUUUGACUCUUAGUAUAUGGUAAGGACAUCCAAUGGAUAUAGGACAAAGUCAUGGACUAAAAGUCAAAGUCAAAAGGAUAAAGAAUUAACAAAGAAAUAUCCAAAGACUAUGUAUGAGUCAUUAGUGUGUGUCAUAGGUUAUCUUCGAGCCUCGUGAGAUGCCAAAAGGAUCCUAGCACUACGUGUGUAAAUGUCAAAGAGUUUAAGUUAUCUUUUAAGGUAGCAACCACUACCUAUAAGUAAUGGAUGUUGGAAGUGAGAGAUAUCUUACUCCAUAUUCUCUUUGUGUUCAACCUUGCUAAUGCUAAGUAUUGUAACUUCCAAGUGCUUGUUCUUCAAUAGUUGAGAGCUUUAUAUUCAGACUCAGUACUAUUAUCAGAAACAGUAGAUUGACGCUUUCUAAUCCACGUGAUAGGACAGGUACCAAGCUAGAAGAUAUAGCCACCAGUGGAACGUCAGAUAUCAUUGCAGCCAAGGUAUUCAACAUCAGUGAAGCCACAAAAAAUAAAAAAAUUACUAGAUGGAAAAAAUGUACCAAAAUCUGAAGUGAACUAAUAUAGCAUAGAAUACGUUUAGCAGCAUCUAGAUGGUACUAUUAGGAAGCAGACAUGAAGCAUGCCAUUAAUCCAACAGAGAAAGAAAUAUCGGGCCAGGUGUUAGUGAGAAAAAACAAAUGGUCAACAAGAUGAUAGUAAGAGGUGGGAUCGAUGAGAGGAGAAGAGGUUUGUGAAGAGAGAAGAAGACCAUCAGAGAGAGAAGUGAAGGUAGGACGACAUUAUAACAUGUUAUAAUCAGAAAGGAGUUGAUAAAUAUAAGGAGACUGAUGAAGGUCAAGACUAAUGGAAGUACAGAAGAACUCAAUACCAAGAUACUUCUGAAUCAAGCCGAGAUCUUUCAUCUCAUAUUUGAAAGUUGGCAUGGUAUUAAUGGAAGCAACUUGAAUAGGAUUGCUUCCAGUAACAAGAAGAUUGUCGAUGUAAAGUAGAAUGAUAAGAAUCUCAACACCAAGAAAUUGAUUAUAAAGAUUAGAGUCAACGCAGCUUUUAACCUAUCUCUAAGAUUUAAGAAAUAUGUCAAUCUCUUGGUACCAAGCUUGGAGAGACUACUUCAUCCCAUAGAUCAAUUUUGAGUAGAGGACAGACCAAGUCGGGAUGCUGAGGGACAAUGAAGCGAGGUGGUUGUUCCAUAUAGAAGGUCAGGAGGAGAGAGUGAUAAAGAAACCCAGUUGAAUUUCCAGAAAGAUAAUGUUAUGACUAAUGAAAAUACUAAGACGCACUCGGUCAUAACACUUGUAAGCCUUAGAAUUAUUAUCAUAGUCUACAAAAAUAGUAGGGAUAGAUUUAAUUUGAAGUUUAUAAUGAAAAAGAGAGGAAAUAUGCAUGUAAGCAGUAUAGCCCAGUAUACAAAGAUGAGAGACAGAUGGCUUAUGGCUAUAGAAAGCUUAAAAAGGAGUCCGAUAAAGGGCUUGAGUACCACAACGAUUUAAGAGAUAGGUAGCACUGCAAACAGCUUCAGGACAAAGAAAAGAAGAAAACUGAGCAGAAAGAGAGAUGGUACGAGCAGCCUAGAGAAGAGUACAAUUUUUAUAUUUAGCUACUUUGUUUUGAUGUGGGCAAUAGACGGGAGUAGGCUGGCGGUGAAUCCCAUGAGAAAGGCACAGAAUUAGAGGAACUCUAUAGACAUAUAUUUCUUACCACAAUCAGAGCAUAGAACAGAAAUGGUGGACAGAAAUUGAGUAGAAACAAGGGCAUGGAAUUUGUUUAAAUCUAAGAAAGGUCUCAGAUUUUGAUUACAGAAAGAAUAUCCAAGUAAAAUGGAAAAAAUCAUUGAUAAAAGUAAGAAGAUACUUAAGAUUAGAGGAAGAUAUAAAAGGUCCACAAAGGUUAGAAUGAAUAAGUUGAAAAAGACGUGUACUACUGGAAGAAGAGUGUUUAGGAAUAUAUUAUGGUAUUUUUUAGGUAGAAUACAUGGGAUGCAUUGACGUUUGACAAGAGGAAGAUCUAGGACGUUAUCAACCAACUGUUGAGCAGACAUAUAGUGAGUCAUUUGAUAGUGCACAUGACCCAAACAAUUGUGCCAUAGAUCUGAAAGGUCAAUUGUAGAGUUAGAAGAAGUGAGAGAAAAUGCAUAGAGAUGGAAAGGAAGAAGGUUAAGAACGAGACAGAAUGCUGUAGAGAUUGUAACGACGAUCACAAAUAUCAUAUAAAUGGACAAAAGAAGAUUGUUACCGAUCAUAUGUACAACGAGAUUCAGAGUCAAAGAAGACGUUGAAAUCCUCUUUAGUGAUCUUGUCAACAGAUAUGAAAUUCUUGGAAAUACCAGAGACGUACAAUAUAUUACAAAUAUCUUUAUUAUCAACCUGAAUAGUCCCUUUUUUAGCAACAUUGAUGCUCUAUCUACUAAAAGUAGUUACCAGAGGUACCAAAGAAGAAGAAGGAGCAUAGCUGCUAAAUGAGCUAUAAUCACCGAAGACAUGAGUGUUUACUCCAUAAUUGAGAAACCAAUCAUUAAUAUCAAUUUUAGAGGUAAAAUUGAUGGAAUCCUCAAUAUAAUUAUUGAAGAAAUAUAAUAAGAAAGAUACAAGUAAGUAGAAUCAAAUUGUUAUUUUAACACUCUUACUUUGCUCUUGGUCAAAGGCUUUUAAACCUAGUGCCUUGGUCAACUUUUGAUGCCUAUCUUUUACUUAUGCUUUUGUUAGGAAAUCAGCAAGCAUGCAUUCUAUUUCACAAUACUUCAAAUUAAUCACUCCCAUUUUAAUCAUCUCUCUUAUGAAGUGUUUUUGAAUGUCAAUGUACUUGGUUCUUGAGUCAUGCUUUAGAUUCUUUGUAAAAGCAAGACAUCGUUAAUUAUCAUACUUCAUUAAAGUUGCUUCCUAUUGCACAAGUCCAAUGUCUUCUAAAAUUUGUCUUAGACAAAUUACGUCCAUUACACCUUGACUUGCUGCUAUAUAUUCUGUCAUUAUCAUCGAUCUUGCAAUUAUAAGUUGUCUCUUACAAUUCCAUGAAAUUGCUCCCAUUCCAACAAAGAACACAUAUCCCAUUUGUAAUCUUCUAUGAUUUGUAUCUCCAAUCUAAGCCGCAUUACAACAACCAUGUAAUGGAAUAUUAUAUCCUCCAAGCCAUAAUUUGAAGUUCAAAGUGCCUUUCAAGUACGUCAUAAUCUUCUUGAUGGUUGUCCAAUGGAUUGGUCCAAGCUUUGACAUGUAUUGACUUACAAUACUCAUGGCAUAUGCAAGUUCCAUUCUUGUAUCAAUUAUUGCAUAUAUAAGUGAGCCUACUACUGUUUUAUAUAAAAAAUCUUUUAUUUCAUCUUCAACUUUAGCAAAUUCUUCAUAUGUGUGCUUCAUUAAAUUCAAAUUGACCUCCAAAGGUGUUCCAAUGGGCUUCCACUCUUUCAUGUUGAAUUUUUUCAAUACUUCUUCAAUGUACUUGCUUUAGAUGAUUGUAAUGGUCUUGUUACUACAAUCUCUUACAAAUUUCACUCUUGAGUAAUAAAAGAGUUCUUCAAAUAUGAUUAAAUCAUCAAUAUAGAAGAUGAUAAUUAAUAUAAACUCAUUUGAUUGCAUCACAUAUAAGACAAGAUUAGCUUUACUCUUUACAAAUUCCUCUUUCAUAAAGAAUGUGUCUAUAUAUUGGUACCAUGUACUUAAUGAUUGUUUUAGUCCAUACAAAGAUUUCUUCAACUUAAAAACAAGGUUUUCUUUUCCUUCUUUUAUAAAUCCUUAAGAUUGAUCCAUACACUUGUUUUUUUUCAACUUUUCAUUCAAAAAAGCCACCUUCACAUCCAUUUGAUAUAUCUCCAAGUCCAUUAUUAUUCCAAUUAUAACAAUGAUUCUAAUGAUAGUAAAUUUGGCCACAUAAGAAAAUAUCUCAUUGAAAGUAAUACUAUCAACUUAUAAGUAGCCUUUGGCAACCAAUCUAGACUUGUAUCUUACAACAUUACCCAUUGCAUUUCUUUUGGUUCUAAAUAUCCACUUACAACCAAUUAAAGAUCAAUUUUUAGGAAGUUGAAUCAAUUUCCAUGUUCUAUUAUUUAUGAGUGAUUUGUAUUCUUUUUCUAAAGCCUUCUUCUACUUCAUACUAUCCAUGGACUUCAUUGCAUCACAUAAAUUCAACGGAUUAGUAAGAAGUGCUAUAUUGGCAUAUUCUUCAAUUACUUGAAGAAAGAUGUGGUUUUUCUACCAUUCAUCAAGUAGUCUUCUUUCUUUCAAUACAAAAUAUUUUGUAACAAAUUCUUUAGAUUAUAUUAUAUAUAGUGAAUGAUUAGCCUCACUCUUUAUAAACUCCUUUAUUCAAUAAAAUAUUCAUAAAAUAUGGAUAUGAUUAGAAGAAUUAUAAUAUAUUGAUUUAUUGAAAGUUGAGGAUGCUACAAAAAGAGUUCUAUGGAGUCUGGAAUUGUAUGAAGCAGAUUAUUAGAAAUGAUAAUUAAUUUUGGAGCAUUCCAGCAAUUAGAUUAUGAAAUAUUUUAUGUAGUCUUUUAUGAUAGUAUAAUAUUACCUAUUAUUGUCAUAAGUUAAGAAAGGAGAAGAGACAGUGAAUACAAAAGAUAGAAUUUUUUAUUGUAAUAUUUUAUUUGAUAGAAUGUGGAAGGCAUUGUAGCUUUAUUGGGUGUUUUAGUUGAUCAAGAGACAAUUAAUUGUGUGAUCCUAACAUAAAAACUCAUGUAGAUACUCUUUCUCUAUGUUCAAAUCCUCCCUAUACAAGUUUAUUCUGAUUAGAUUAGUUUAAAAUAAGUAAAAAGAUAAUGACAUUUUAGUGCUGUUACUAGAGAAUUGAUAAUAGUAUUGAGUGUUAGGAAUUAAUUACUAAACGUGUGAUUGUAGAUGUUAUACGAAGAGGUUAUAAAAUUGAUGUUGGUUUGAAAGUGAAGCCAAAUAUGUAGUUGGAUUGGAGAUAGAAAGAAAUUUCAAUAUUAUAUGAUGAAAGAUUAUGGUUAAUAAAAAUGAGAAUAUUAUACUAAAAAAAAAUACACGAGUUGAAAGGAAGAUAAGAGAGAGCACAAGCAAGAAAUUUGUUGCAAGACAAGCAAGAACAUAACCUAAAAAAGAAGUGUCAAUAGAGUUGGAUUAAAUCAUUAUUGCAUGCCUAUCAACAUAUCUGAGCAUACCAAAAACUUGACAAAACGUUAAUAAUUUAAUCAUAUAUAUUGUUAAAAAAAUUAUCAAGAAUACUCAUGAGAAAUUUUAUCAACAAUCCAAUAUAUUUCUUGAGUCCAUUAACUGAAAGUAAAGAAGGUACAAAAAGAUUGGAUACUCCAUUGGAUACUUUCUCAAUAGCAGAUACAACCGAUUUUAGCAAGACUGAUUCUUUAGAAUGGCAUAAAUUACUUACCAAUAAGGGCCAGUUUAGCGUGUUUCAAAAUCCAUUGUUUUCACCUUUAAUUAAAUCAAUAAAUUAUUUAUGAAUAAUAAUAGCAAAUUGAGUAGGAUGAAAAGUUUGAAAAAGAUAAUUGGAGAAGUUAGUAUUUAUUUUAAUAAGAAAUUAAGUAAAACAUUGAUAUCUUCAAUAGCGGCGAGGGACCUAGCAAUUCUAAUUACAGUUCAAAUGGGUGCAGUGGGUGAUCACAUAACUAAUAUAGAUUCAUUAUUUAUUUUUAGAGGUUUAUUAGGUGUAGAUUCAAAUCAACAUAUGUCUUAGUUUCUGAGUGUAUAUGUAGCCAAUAAUAGUAGAAUUAAAAAUAUUUGAUUGAGAUGGCUACUAGCGAUCUUGAAAGAUAUAACAUUUGAAUAAUAUAAUCGCCAGCAUGUGGAUUAAUUUUUUAAUUGGGAGGCAUUGAAAAAUACGUUUUUAAUCCAUUUUUGACCAAUUGGAUUUGAAAAACAUCUCAAAGAAAGGUUAAUGAAUAGUAGAAUGAUAUCAAGAGAAGUAAUGCAAUCAUAUUAUGGACGAGUAAUAGAUAUCCUUUGUAAAUGGUCAAUUAAUCAAAUAUCAAAAUUAUUUAUUUUGUCUAUAUUGGUAAAUGGACUAUAUCCACAAAAAUUGAAGAUAUUUAUAAAAGAGGCAUGAUUAGCCAUUGUUGCUUCUUUACUUCAUCAAGUUAAGAUAUGAAAAGAAUAUCAUUAUGAAUAAUUCUUAACUAUAGGAGCCACAAUUAUUCCAUCUCAGGGAGGUUAUAAAAUGCCAGCAAUGGGUAGUUAUCCAAAAAUAAUUGAUUAUGAUGCAAAUCUUAGUACUAAUCUGCAAGAAAUAAUUAAUGCUAUUCCAUUGCAGGUUGUAUUGAAACAUAGAAAGCAAACUCCACACAAGCAAGUUAGGACCAGCAAGGUUGCACUUCACAAAUAGAAUGUGGUAUGAGAUGAUUCUUCCCAUGCCAACCCUUUUCUUAUAUACUAGUACCAAGGUACCAUGUGUUACAACCCAUAUGGGAUAUUUCAUAGGACCAGCCCUCUCCUUGUAUUCUAAGGCACUAUAGACCAGCAACUAACCUUGUAGGAUAUCCCUCAUUACUCAUAUACUCUAUUGACCAUUAGCAACAACUAAAUGAGUUCUUUCCUUCAACACUCCCACUUUGCUAUUGGUCAAUUAGCUAUCAAUCCUAAUGCCUUACUCAAUAUGUUGUGUCUCUCUUUCACCAAGGCUUUUGUUAGCAAAUCAGCCAACAUGUCUUUGGUUUCACAAUACAUCAUAUCAAUAACUCCCAUCUCUAUCUUCUCUCUUAUAAAGUGGUGUUGAAUAUCAAUGUGCUUGGUUCUUGCAUGAUGCUUUGGAUUCUUUGCAAAAGCCAAACAUCCUUGAUUGUCACAUCUCAAUGGAGUGGCUUCCAAUUGCACAAGUCCAAUGUCUUCCAACAACAACCUCAACCAAAUUGCCUCCAUUGCUCCAUGACUUGCUGCCAUAUACUCCGCCUCCAUUGUGGACCUUGCAAUGGUUGGUUGUCUCUUACAAUUCCAAGAUAUGGCUCCCAUUCCAACAAAGAAUACAUAGCCCGUUGUUGAACUUCUAUCAUUUGUAUCUCCAGCCCAAUCCGCAUCACAAUAUCCAUGUAAUGCAAUAUUAUUUCCUCCAAGACAUAGUUUAUGGUUCAAAGAGCCUUUCAAGUACCUCAUGAUUCUUUUGAUGGUUGCCCAAUGCAUAGGACCUGGUUUUGCCAUGUGUUGACUUACAACACUUACUGCAAAUGCAAGAUCCAUCCUUGUACCCACCAUUGCAUACAUGAGUGAGCCUACGGCUGCCUUGUAUGGUAUGCCUUGCAUUUGAUGCUCCACUUCAGCAUAUUCCUCAUCCGUGAGCUUCAUCAACUUCAAGUUGGCUUCCAAAGGAGUUCCAAUGGGCUUGCAAUCUUGCAUAUUGAAUCGUUUCAAUACUUCUUCAAUGUACUUGCUUUGACUCAAUGUGAUGGUCUUUGAUACUCUAUUCCUUGUAAAUUCCACAUCCAAACAAUAAUGAAGCUCUCCCAAAUCACUCAUUUCAAACUCUUUCUCCAAUUUCUUCUUCAACCAAUCUAAUUUUACCAUGGUGUUGCUUAAGAUGAUUAAAUCAUCUACAUAGAGGAUCACAACCAGCAAGAAGUCCUUGGCUUGCAACACAUACAAAGAAUGGUCAGCUUCACUUCUUAUAAAACCUGCCUUCACAAAGAAUGAGUCAAUGCGUUGAUACCAUGCUCUUGGUGAUUGCUUGAGUCCAUACAAUGACUUCUUCAACUUGCAUACAAGGUUGGAUUUGUCUUGAUCAAUAAAUCCUUGAGGUUGCUCCAUGUAAAUGUCUUCUUCCAAUUCUCCAUUCAAGAACGCUGUCUUGACGUCCAUUUGAUGCAUCUCCAAGUCUAUUGAUGCUCCAAUUGCUACUAUGGUUCUAAUGGUAGUGAAUUUGGCCACUGGAGCAAAUGUCUCAUUAAAAUCCACUCCAGCAAUUCGUGAGUAGCCUUUGGCAACCAAUCUUGCUUUGUACCUCACAACAUUACCCAUAGCAUCUCUCUUGGUUCUAAACACCCACUUACAUCCAAUUGCUGAACGAUUUGGUGGAAGUGGAGUCAACUCCCAUGUCUUGUUGUCCAUAAGAGAUUUGUACUCUUCUUGCAUAGCAAUCUCCCACUUCAUUGCAUCACCACACCUCAUUGCAUCACACAAAGUCAAUGGAUCAUCAAGAAGAGCAACAUUGGCCUGAUCUUCACUUACUUGUGGAAAGAUGUGGUUCUUCCACCAUUCACCUUGUGGUCUUCUUUCACGUGUUGGAUAUCUUCUUUCAUGCAAAGAAGAUGAGCCUUCAUGCACCUCUUGCUGCCUUCUAUGGCUCAUACACUUCCUUCUCUCAUUCAUUGGUUGAUAUUCUUCAUCUUCAUUCUCUUCAUUGUCCUUGUUGUAUCUUGCUGGAAUUGAAGUCUUUAUAGAGUUGGGCUCUUCUUCAAUGAUAUCUUCAUUUCCAUCUUCACUUUGAGAAUGCUCUUCUUCAUCUUCUUGUUUGUUUGCUGGAAUUGAAGAUGUGUCCACAAACACACCACUACUCCCACUUGGAUACAUCUCCCACUUUUCACUUGCACUCUUAUACUCCAAGAACUCUACAUCACGACUUUUGAUGAUCUUUUUGGUGUCUAAACACAUGAGCCUAUAUGCCUUGGUGCCUUCACAAUAUCCAAGGAAUGCACAUCUUGUGCCCUUUGCAUCAAGUUUGCCUCUCAUACUAUCUGGAACUUUAGCAUAUGCAAUGCAUCCAAAAAUCCUCAUAUGAGAUAAACAAGGUUUCUUACCAGUCCAAGCUUCUUCUGGAGUCAUUCCUUCAAGUGCACUUGUGGGACACCUAUUUCUUGUAUAUACGGCAUUUACCACAGCUUCCGCCCAAUACUCAUAUCCAAGCUUUUGAGCAUGAAUCAUACUCCUUGCCAUCUCCACAAUGGUGCGAUUUGCUCUUUCAGCAACUCCAUUUUGUUGUGGGGUAUAGGGAGUGGAGGUUUGUCUUACAAUACCUUCUUGCUUCAAUAACUCAACAAAGUCUUUUGAUAAAUACUCACCUCCAUUGUCCGAUCGCAGCACCUUAAUCUUGUGCUCACAUUGCUUCUCCAUAAGUGCUUUCCACUCCUUAAACUUAGCAAAACACUCACUUUUGGCCUUGAUGAUAUAAAUCCAUACCUUCCUUGAAAAGUCAUCAAUAAAUGUGACAAAAUAUCUUGCUCCACUCAUAGAUGCUGUUUUCAUGGGUCCACAAACAUCCGAAUGCACAAGCUCCAGCAAUUGAUUUGCUCUUCUUGCAAUUCCACUAGGAAAUAGUGUCCUAUGUUGUUUGCCUUGAAUGCAACCUUCACAAGAUAGAUUCAUAGUAGAAUGGCCAAGGUCUAAGCCACUUACCAUGGAUUGAAGCUCCUUCAUGCUUUUGGCAUUCAAAUGUCCAAGUCUUUGAUGCCAAAUGCCUACCUUAUCUUCAUUUGAUGGAAAUUCAGCAAAAGCAGCAACCUCUACUCCAUUGAUGCGCUUGCAAUUGAUAAUAUAGAGAUUGCCAUCUCUAAUCCCUUUUGCUACUUCUUUGCCUUCCAUGGUUCUCACAAAACAUCCAUUCAUAUUGAAUUGUACUUUGCACCCAUGACUUACAAGUUUACUCACCGAAAGGAGGUUCUUCUUCAUCUUUGGCACAUGCAACACAUCCUUGAGUGUGAUCCUCUUGCUUAUGCCCUUGACCACUACUUCCACUACAAUGGUGCCCAUUCCAAUGGCUUGUACCAUACCAUUAUCACCUAACCAAACCUUAGUUGCUGGAAUUGGUUGAUAAGUGUUAAAUGAACACUUGUAUGGAGUCAUGUGUUUGGUACAUCCAGAAUCCACGAUCCAUUUGCCUUCUAUGACUCAUCAAGUACUUUCUCUUACUCAUUUGUUGGUAUUCUUCAUCUUCAUUCUCUUCAUUGUCCUUGUUGUAUCUUGCUGGAAUUGAAGUCUUCAUAGUAUUGGGCUCUUCCAUCUUGGCAACUUCCUCUCCUUCUUCACUUUGAGAAUGCACUUCUUCAUCUUCUUGUUUGUUUGUUGGAAUUGAAGAUGUGUCCACAAACACACCACUACUCCCACUUGGACACAUCUCCCACUUUUCACUACCACUCAUAGAUGGUAUCCUCAUAGAUCCACAAACAUCGGAAUGCACAAUCUCCAGCAAUUGGUUUGUUCUUGUUACAACUCCUCUAGGAAAUGGUGUCCUAUGUUGUUUGCCUUGAAUGCAUCCCUCACAAGCAAGAUUCAUGGUAGAAUGGCCAAGGUCUAUGCCAUUUAUUUAGGAUUGAAGCCCCUUCAUGCUUUUCGCAUUCAAAUGCCCAAGUCUUUGAUGCCAAAUGCCCAUCUUCUCUUCAUUUGAUGGAAAUUCAGCAAAGGCAGCAACCUCCACUCCAUUGAUCCUUUUGCAAUUGAUAAUAUAGAGAUUGCCAUUCCUAGUCCCUUUUGCUACUUCUUUGCCUUCCAUGGUUCUCACAAAACAUCCGUUCAUGUUAAAUUGCACUUUGUACCCAUGAGUUAUAAGUCUACUCACCGAAAGGAGGUUCUUCUUCAUCUUUGGCACAUGCAACACAUCCUUGAGAGUGAUUCUCUUGCUUAUGCCCUUCACCAGCACCUCCACUACAAUGGUGCCUAUUCCAAUGGCUUGUACCAUACAAUUAUCACCUAACCAAACGUUGGUUACUUGAAUUGGUUGAUAAGUGUUAAAUGAACACUUGUAUGGAGUCAUGUGUUUGGUACAUCCGGAAUCCACUAUCCAUUUGCUCAUAUCAAACAUGGAAGGAGUUUGUUUUGCCAUGAAUGCAAAGUCUUCACCUCCAUGGUCAUGAAAAGCAUUGUUGGCAUUCUCUCUUUCUCCUUUCUUUGCCUUGAAAUAAUUUCUAGCAAAAUGGCCUGGUUUUCCACAAAUGUAACAAGUUUUAGGAGGAUAACGUUGAAAAGGGGCACUUGCCUUACUUGGUCUUGUAAAUAGUGCUGAUUGCUCUCCAAUAGACUCCUUUUGCUUUCUUUUGGUCACUUCAUGGGCUAGUCUUGCCGUGACAUAGUCCAAAGUGAGGACUUUCCUUGAAAUGGACUCCAAUGCCACAAUGAGGGAGGAAUAGGAGUCCGGAAGGCUUGAGAGCAAUGUCAUCACAACAUCUUCUUCAAGUAAAGGCUUGUCAACAACAGCAAGUUGGUUUGCAAGUGCUUUUACCUUAUUUACAUGAGCCAUGAGAUCUUCACCUUCUUCCAUCUUCACGGUGAAGAAAUUUUGCCUUGACCAUAGCACAUCAGAAAGAUUCCUACUCUCAUAGACAUUGCAAAGAGUCUUCCAUGCAUCUGCUGCUCCUUUGCAAGAAAUGACAUGAGCAAAGUUGGUUUCAUCUAAGUUGGUGGCAAUUAUCCAAAAGCCUUCUUUUCUCGUCUUUUGAAGUCCUUUUGCUCCUUCAUGCUUGCCUCUAAUCCAGGUGCCUCUUCCUCCUCACAUACUAUCUCACAAAGAUCCAAUGACGCCAAAAGUAGCUCCAUUUUGGCCUUCCAGUGGUGAAAGAUGUCACCUCUAAACUUUUCUACCAUUCUUAAGCUAUCACUCUCAAAAGAUGCCAUCUCAACCUACAAGUAGGUCCAAAAAUCUCUUGAUUUGGAGUUGUAAUGCAAAAGAUAUGACUACUCAAAGAUUGCUGAACUACAAACUCAGAAUUCGCUGUUUUGCAACUUUUUGCAUACUUUGAGUCCAAAUCACGUCUAAAUGGUGGGAAAUGCUAUAUCAUGUAAUUCUAUGGCUUUCAAACCACUCCCUCACAUCACCCCACUCAAAAUGCCUCGAUUUCUCAUAAAACUCUCAAAUACUAGUGUUACUUCAGCAAAGACACUAUCAAGGUCUUGCACUAACCUCAUACACUCAAAAAUCUAGGAGUAAUGACUUCAACAAAACACUAGUAAUACUAUACCAUAAGAUCUCAACCACCAAACAAGCAACAAAGAAAAUAAAAUGCAAGAACAACUUACUUGGUAAGAGAAUGUGGGCCCAUAACCUAUUGAAACAUAGAAAACAUACUCCACACAAGUAAGUUAGGACCAGCAAGGUUGCACUAUAAGAAAUAGAGUGUGGUAUGAGAUAAUUCUUCCCAUGCCAAUCCUUUCCUUAUAUACUAGUACCAAGGUACUAAGUGCUAUAAUCCAUAUUGGAUAUCUCCUAGGACCAGCCCUCCCCUUCUACUCUAAUGCACUAUAGACCAGCAUCCUACUUUAUGGGAUAUCCUUAACAACACUUGUACUCUAUUGACCAUUAGCAACUACUUAAAGAGUUCUUUUCUCAACAAGCAAGAGGUGCAAGAAGGCUCAUCUUCUUUGCAUGAAAGAAGAUAUCCAACACGUGAGAGAAGACCACAAGGUGAAUGGUGAAAGAAUCACUUCUUGUGCACACCAAUUGGAUGUAAGUGGGUACUUAGAACUAACCGGGAUGCAAACGAUUGAAGGUCAACAAUGGGCUAUUAUUCUUUUUGAGNNNNNNNNNNNNNNNNNNNNNNNNNNNNNNNNNNNNNNNNNNNNNNNNNNNNNNNNNNNNNNNNNNNNNNNNNNNNNNNNNNNNNNNNNNNNNNNNNNNNNNNNNNNNNNNNNNNNNNNNNNNNNNNNNNNNNNNNNNNNNNNNNNNNNNNNNNNNNNNNNNNNNNNNNNNNNNNNNNNNNNNNNNNNNNNNNNNNNNNNNNNNNNNNNNNNNNNNNNNNNNNNNNNNNNNNNNNNNNNNNNNNNNNNNNNNNNNNNNNNNNNNNNNNNNNNNNNNNNNNNNNNNNNNNNNNNNNNNNNNNNNNNNNNNNNNNNNNNNNNNNNNNNNNNNNNNNNNNNNNNNNNNNNNNNNNNNNNNNNNNNNNNNNNNNNNNNNNNNNNNNNNNNNNNNNNNNNNNNNNNNNNNNNNNNNNNNNNNNNNNNNNNNNNNNNNNNNNNNNNNNNNNNNNNNNNNNNNNNNNNAGUGUAUGAGGUUAGUGCAAGACCUUGAUAGUGUUUUGCUGAGUACACUAGUAUUUGAGAGUUUUAUGAGAAAUUGAGUCAUUUUGAGUGAGGUGAUGUGAGGGAGAUGUUUGAAAGCCAUAGAAUUACAUGACAUAGCAUUUCCCACCAUUUAGACGUGAUUUGGACUCAAAGUAUGCAAAAAGUUGCAAAACAGCGAAUUCUAAAUUUGUAGUUCAGCAAUCUUUAAGUAGUCAUAUCUUUUGCAUUACAACUCCAAAUCAAGAGAUUUUUGGACCUACUUGUAGGUUGAGAUGGCAUCUUUUGAGAGUGAUAGCUUAAGAAUGGUAGAAAAGUUUAGAGGUGACAACUUUCACCACUGGAAGGCCAAAAUGGAGCUACUUUUGGCGUCAUUGGAUCUUUGUGAGAUAGUAUGUGAGGAGGAAGAGGCACCUGGGGUAGAGGCAAGCAUCACGGAGCAAAAGGACUUCAAAAGACGAGAAAAGAAGGCUUUUGGUAUAAUUGCCACCAACUUAGAUGAAACCAACUUUGCUCAUGUCAUUUCUUGCAAAGGAGCAGCAGAUGCAUGGAAGACUCUUUGCAAUGUCUAUGAGAGUAGGAAUCUUUCCAAUGUGCUAUGGUCAAGGCAAAAGUUCUUCACCGUGAAGAUGGAAGAAGGUGAAGAUCUCAUGGCUCAUAUAAAUAAGGUAAAAGCACUUGCAAACCAACUUGCUGUUGUUGACAAGCCUUUACUUGAAGAAGAUGUUGUGAUGACAUUGCUCUCAAGCCUUCCGGACUCCUAUUCCUCCCUCAUUGUGGCAUUGGAGUCCAUUUCAAGGAAAGACCUCACUUUGGACUAUGUCACGGCAAGACUAGCCCAUGAAGUGACCAAAAGAAAGCAAAAGGAGUCUAUUGGAGAGCAAUCAACACUAUUUACAAGACCAAGUAAGGCAAGUGCCCCUUUUCAACGUUAUCCUCCUAAAACUUAUUACAUUUGUAGAAAACCAGGCCAUUUUGCUAGAAAUUGUUUCAAGGCAAAGAGAGGAGAAAUAGAGAAUGCCAACGAUGCUUUUCAUGACCAUGGAGGUGAAGACUUUGCAUUCAUGGCAAAACAAACUCCUUCCAUGUUUGAUAUGAGCAAAUGGAUUGUGGAUUCCGGAUGUAUCAAACACAUGACUCCAUACAAGUGUUCAUUUAACACUUAUCAACCAAUUCAAGCAACCAACGUUUGGUUAGGUGAUAAUUGUAUGGUACAAGCCAUUGGAAUAGGCACCAUUGUAAUGGAGGUGGUGGUGAAGGGCGUAAGCAAGAGAAUCAAUCUCAAGGAUGUGUUGCAUGUGCCAAAGAUGAAGAAGAACCUCCUUUCGGUGAGUAAACUUAUAACUCAUGGGUACAAAGUGCAAUUUAACAUGAAUGGAUGUUUUGUGAGAACCAUGGAAGGCAAAGAAGUAGCAAAAGGGAGUAGGAAUGGCAAUCUCUAUAUUAUCAAUUGUAAGAGGAUCAAUGGAGUGGAGGUUGCUGCCUUUGCUGAAUUUCCAUCAAAUGAAGAGAAGAUGGGCAUUUGGCAUCAAAGACUUGGGCAUUUGAAUGCCAAAAGCAUGAAGGGGCUUCAAUCCAAGGUAAAUGGCAUAGACCUUGGCCAUUCUACCAUGAAUCUUGCUUGUGACGGAUGCAUUCAAGGCAUACAACAUAGAACACCAUUUCCUAGAGGAGUUGCAACAAGAACAAAUCAAUUUCUGGAGCUUGUGCAUUCCGAUGUUUGUGGAUCCAUGAGGACACCAUCUAUGAGUGGUAGUGAAAAGUGGGAGAUGUGUCCAAGUGGGAGUAGUGGUGUGUUUGUGGACACAUCUUAAAUUCUAACAAACAAACAAGAAGAUGAAGAAGAGCAUUCUCAAAGUGAAGAAGAAGUGGAAGAUGCCAUGAUAGAAGAGCCCAAUACUAUGAAGACUUCAAUUCCUGCAAGAUACAACAAGGACAAUGAAGAGAAUGAAGAUGAAGAAUACCAACAAAUGGGUAAGAGAAAGCACUCCAUGAGUCAUACAAGGCAGCAAGAGGUGCAAGAAGGCUCAUCUUCUUUGCAUGAAAGAAGAUAUCCAACACGUGAGAGAAGACCACAAGGUGAAUGGUGAAAGAAUCACAUCUUUCCACAACAAUUGGAUAUAAGUGGAUGCUUAGAACUAAGAGAGAUGCNNNNNNNNNNNNNNNNNNNNNNNNNNNNNNNNNNNNNNNNNNNNNNNNNNNNNNNNNNNNNNNNNNNNNNNNNNNNNNNNNNNNNNNNNNNNNNNNNNNNCAAUAGGGGUGGAGAAUUCGGGCAGCAAGUCAUGAAGCAAUGGAGGCAUUUUGGUUGAGUUUGUUAUUGGAAGAUAUUGGACUUGUGCAAUUUGAAGCUACUCCAUUGAGGUGUGACAAUCAAGGAUGGCUUGCUUUUGGAAAGAAUCCAAAGCAUCAUGCAAGAACUAAGUACAUUGAUAUUCAGCAUCAUUUGAUAAGAGAGAAGAUAGAGAUGGAGGUUAUUGAUAUGAUGUAUUGUGAAACCAAAGACAUGUUGGCUGAUUUGUUGACAAAAGCCUUAGUUAGAGAAGGACACAACAAGUUGAGUAAGGCAUUAGGAUUGAUAGCUAAUUGACCAAUAGCAAAGUGGGAGUGUUGAGAAAAGAACUCUUUAAGUAGUUGCUAAUGGUCAAUAGAGUAUAAGUGUUGUUAAGGACAUCCCAUAAGGUAGGGUGGUGGUCUAUAGUACAUUAGAGUACAAGGGGAGGGCUGGUCCUAGGAGAUAUCCCAUAUGGAUAGUAGCACUUGGUACCUUGGUACUACUAUAUAAGAAAAGGGUUGGCAUGGGAAGAAUUAUCUCAUACCACACUCUAUUUGUUAUAGUGCAACCUUGCUGGUCCUAACUUACUUGUGUGGAGUAUGCUUUCUAUGUUUCAAUAGCCUUCAUGCUUCAAUAACUCAUCAAAGUGUUUGGACAAAUACUCACCUCCAUUGUCCGAUCGUAGUAACUUAAUCUUCUGCUCACAUUGCUUCUCCACAAGUGCUUUCCACUCCUUAAACUUGGCAAAACACUCACUCUUGGCCUUGAUGAUGUAGAUCCAUACCUUCCUUGAGAAGUCAUAAAUAAAUGUAACAAAGUACCUUGCUGCACUCAUAGAUGGUGUCCUCAUGGUUCAACAAACAUCCGAAUGCACAAGCUCCAGUAAUUGGUUGGCUCUUGUUGCAACGCCACUAGGAAAUGGUAUCCUAUGUUGUUUGCCUUGAAUGCAUCCCUCACAAAUAAGAUUCAUGGUAGAAUGGCCAAGGUCUAAGCAACUUAUCAUGGAUUGAAGCUCCUUCAUGCUUUUGGCAUUCAAAUGCCCAAGUCUUUGAUGCCAGCUGCCCACCUUGUCUUUAUUAGAUAGAAAUUCGGUAAAAUCAGCAACCUCCACUCCAUUGAUCCUCUUGCAAUUGAUAAUAUAGAGAUUGCCAUUCCUAGUCCCUUUUGCUAUUUCUUUGCCUUCCAUUGUUCUCACAAAACAUCCAUUCAUGUUAAAAUGCACUUUGUACCCAUAAAUUACAAGUUCACUCACCGAAAGGAGGUUCUUCUUCAUCUUUGGCACAUGAAACACAUCCUUGAGAGUGAUUCUCUUGCUUAUGCCCUUCACCACCACUUCCACUACAAUGGUGCCUAUUCCAAUGGCUUGUACCAUACAAUUAUCACCUAACCAAACGUUGGUUGCUUGAAUUGGUUGAUAAGUGUUAAAUGAACACUUGUAUGGAGUCAUGUGUUUGGUACAUCCGGAAUCCACAAUCCAUUUGCUCAUAUCAAGCAUGGAAGGAGUUUGUUUUGCCAUGAUGCAAAGUCUUCACCUCGAUGGUCAUGAAAAGCAUUGUUGGCAUUCUCUCUUUUUCUUCUCUUUGCCUUGAAAGAAUUUUUAGCAAAUUGGCCUGAUUUUCCACAAAUGUAACAAGUUUUAGGAGGAUAACGUUGAAAAGGGGCACUUGCCUUACUUGGUCUUGUAAAUAGUGCUGAUUGCUCCCCAAUAGACUCUUCUUACUUUCUUUUGGUCACUUCAUGGGCUAGUCCUCCCGUGCCAUAGUCCAAAGUGAGGUCUUUCCUUGAAAUGGACUCCAAUGCCACAAUGAGGGAAGAAUAGGAGUCCAGAAGGCUAGAGAGCAUUGUCAUCACAACAUCUUCUUUAAGUAAAGGCUUGUCAACAACAACAAGUUGGUUUACAAGUGCUUUUACCUUAUUCACAUGAGCCAUGAGAUCUUCACCUUCUUCCAUCUGAUAGGGUAAAAGAUAAAGAUGUUAAGAUAAAUAUAUAAUAGUAAAAGUAGAAUAAGUUAUCUUAUAGAGAAUAUUCUCUUAGGUAAGUUGCUAAUGGUCAAAGGCAACUAAGGACUAAGUAAUGGCUAGGGUCUGGAUAGACGGCUAGGUAUAAAGUCUCGAAAGGCGGUUAAGUUUAGGGUCUCGAGUAGUGGCUAGUUAUAGAUGAAUGUGGAUGAAGUCUAUACAUAUAGGAUGUGAACUCUGAUUAAAAGUAACGGGUGUUGGAAGUAAGAGUCAUCUCAUUCUACACUUCUCUUAUGUGCAACCUUGCUGAUUUCUACUUACUUGUGUUAUGUUGAAACAUAGAAAUUAAACUCCACCAAAGAAAGUUAGGACCAGCAAGGUUGCACUUUAACAAAUAGAAUGUGGUAUGAGAUAAUACUUCCCAUGCCAACCCUUUCCUUAUAUACUAGUAUCAAGGUACCAAGUGCUACAAUCCAUAUGGGAUAUUUCCUAGGACCAGCCCUCCCCUUGUACUCUAAUGCACUCUAGACAGGCACCUAACAUUAUGAGAUAUCCCUAACAACACUUGUACUCUAUUGACCAUUAGCAAUUACUUAAAGAGUUCUUUUCUCAACACUCCCACUUUGCUAUUGGUCAAUUAGCUCUCAAUCCUAAUGCCUUACUCAACUUGUUGUGUGUUUCUCUAACUAAAGCAUUUGUCAACAAAUCAGCCAACAUGUCUUUGGUUUCACAAUACAUCAUAUCAAUAACCUCCAUCUCUAUCUUCUCUCUUAUGAAAUGAUGCUGAAUAUCAAUGUACUUAGUUCUUACAUGAUGCUUUGGAUUCUUUACAAAAGCAAGACAUCCUUGAUUGUCACACCUCAAUGGAGUAGCCUCCAAUAGCACAAGUCCAAUAUCUUCCAAUAACAACCUCAAUCAAAUUGCCUCCAUUGCUUUAUGACUUGCUGCCAAAUACUCCGCUCCUAUUGUGGACCUUGCAAUGUUUGGUUGUCUAUUGCAAUUCGAAGAUAUGGCUCCCACUCAAACAAAGAAUACAUAGCCCAUUGUUGACCUUCAAUCGUUUGCAUCUCUCUUAGUUCUAAGCACCUACUUACAUCCAAUUGUUGUGGAAAGAUGUGGUUCUUUCACCGUUCACCUUGUGGUCUUCUCUCACGUGUUGGAUAUCUUCUUUCAUGCAAAGAAGAUGAGCCUUCUUGCACCUCUUGCUGCCUUCUAUGAUUCAAGGAGUGCUUUCUCUUACUCAUUUGUUGGUAUUCUUCAUCUUCAUCCUUCUUGUAUCUUGCUGGAAUUGAAGUCUUCAUAGUAUUGGGCUCUUCUAUCAUGGCAUCUUCCUCUUCUUCUUCACUUUGAGAAUGCUCUUCUUCAUCUUCUUGUUUGUUUGUUGGAGUUGAAGAUGUGACCACAAACACUCCAAUACUCCCACUUGCACACAUCUCCUACUUUCACUACCACUCAUAGAUGGUGUCCUCAUGGAUCCACAAACAUCUGAAUGCACAAAUUCCAGCAAUUGGUUUGCUCUUGUUGCAACUCCUCUAGGAAAUGGUGUCCUAUGUUGUUUGCCUUGAAUGCAUCCCUCACAAGCAAGAUUCAUGGUAUAAUGGCCAAGGUCUAUGCCAUUUACCUUGGAUUGAAGCCCCUUCAUGCUUUUGGCAUUCAAAUGCCCAAGUCUUUGAUGCCAAAUGCCCAUCUUCUCUUCAUUUGAUGGAAAUUCAGCAAAGGCAGCAACCUCCACUCCAUUGAUCCUCUUACAAUUGAUAAUAUAGAGAUUGCCAUUCCUAGUCCCUUUUGCUACUUCUUUGCCUUCCAUGGUUCUCACAAAACAUCCAUUCAUGUUAAAUUGCACUUUGUACCCAUGAGUUAUAAGUUUACUCACCGAAAGGAGGUUCUUCUUCAUCUUUGGCACAUGCAACACAUCCUUGAGAGUGAUUCUCUUGCUUAUGCCCUUCACCACCACCUCCACUACAAUGGUGCCUAUUCCAAUGGCUUGUACCAUACAAUUAUCACCUAACCAAACGUUGGUUGCUUGAA